Molecule: long non-coding RNA, 1484 nt
Organism: Gymnodraco acuticeps
Lineage: Eukaryota; Metazoa; Chordata; Actinopteri; Perciformes; Bathydraconidae
Exons: 2
Source: RefSeq, a predicted model, not a curated record
GGCAGUGUGAUCCUUCAUUUACCACGACUCCCUCCACAUGUAUUCUACUCAUACAACCUGGUCUCAGUGUGGCGGGUAGAGAUAUGGAUCCGUUCAGGGCCUUUCAGAGACGUUUCAGUGGCAGACAUCAGACUCCUGUUGGUAGCGCGACAAAGCCCUCGAAAUCUCAAAGCAGAGAAUAUGGCUUCAAUAAGAAAACAAUGUGCAUCCAAUAAGCAGAGAGCAAAAAUAGACUCAUCAACAACGUCCAAACCAUCAUCGCCUUGAAAGAAACCGUAAAGAGGAAAUUAAAGCAACAACCAAAAAGAACAUAUAAGCCAUAAAGAGCCACACUCGGGAGGACAGGAAGUCGGUUUAAAGACGAGAGGAGGCUUCGUUUGACAUCAACGGCGGAGAGAAGACGUCCGCCAUGUUCCUUCUCUGCAUCACGGACACAAUGAUUUAUUUUUUUACCUUCGACAACAAACCGCUCGCUCGCCUCUCUUUGUAAAUGUGCUCAAAGUCCAGAGGAAAGUCCCAGCAGGCUUUGCUUCAGCUCCUGGAAGCCCGCGGUGGGCAAUGAAGCACAUGAUACCAGAAAAAUAAACAACAUAAACUUCUCCUCCCUUUCCUUGUUUUCAGCCGGCAGGGCGGGAACAUACUCUUCUUCCUGGUUCUCAGUUUCUCAGUCUCUCGCUCGAUGGCUUCAGAUCUCGUGGUCGUUGUAGCUCACGUAUUUCUUCUUUGCUGCCGGACCUGAAUAAGAGGAGAAAAAGGAGAAUGAAAUACGAGCUUCAGUCAGGUCUGUUGGCUGUUAGUGUAGCUGGAGGUUAGUGUUGAGAUCAAUGGGAAAUGUACGGAAGAGGAUUAGGGCCAAAUGUGGACAUUUUGUUGAGAUCUGACCAAAGUGAAAUUUUUUGUGAUAUCUGAGAUGAGAGUCAGAAUUUUGAGGUAAAUAUAUAUAUUUUUUUCUUACAUUUUCUCCAAAGUCUGUCUUUUUUUCUCAGAAUUCUGAAGAAAAAGCAUUUGGGAUUUUUUUUAAUGGAAACUCAAGAAAAAAAUAUAUCUCAGAAUUUGAGAAUUUUACGGAAAAUCUCAAAAUUCCCAGAAAAAAAGACAGAAAUUUGAGAUAAAACAUAUUAAAUGUUUUCCCCCAGAAAGGGAGAAUUAGACUUUUUUUAUUAUAACAAAUGUUUUCUAAAAUAAUUUUCAGAAGUUAGAAUUUCUAGAAAAAAUGAUUUCUAUUAUUUUUCACGGAAAAUCUCAAAGUUCUGCGAAAAUACAUUUCUGGCUAGCUCUAAAAAAUGUGUUUCACAUGUGGCCCUUAUCUUCUUCCGUAGAUUUAGAGUUUAUGAUUGCAUGAAAAUGAAAUGUUAGAAGCUAAAACAGACGGUUUGAAUCAUGAAGGAGGAUUGUGCCGUUUGCAGAGCCUGAGAUCACUGACAAUAAUAACACCACCAAAUGUCGAGCAAAUUAAAAAAAUCAUUCGUGUUUGUUUUCAACUU